This 285-nucleotide long non-coding RNA is filed under the name Coffea arabica (coffee). RNAcentral's name for it is "long non-coding RNA (CARA_LNC001757)". Lineage: Eukaryota; Viridiplantae; Streptophyta; Magnoliopsida; Gentianales; Rubiaceae. The record is from RNAcentral.
CACAUUUAGCGCACUCAGCCAAUUUUUCCAAAUUUUUCUUUGACCCCUUCUUUUCCGAACCGUAAUGUUCGUCAAGAACUCGCAUAUGCCUCCUGGACAGAUCAAUGAAAUAAUGCCGUUUCAGUUUCUCCAGAGACGGAGAACACUGAAAUCGACAGUGAUAACACUGAAAUACCUGCAAAACAACAAAUAUUAAAAAUUUAUUAGAAAUUUAUUUUUCUAUUAUAAAAAUAAUUAAAAACAAUCAAAUACAAGUUACCCUUUUUCCAGCUUCCUCUUUUUUUU